GGUGGAGCCUACGCGGCCGCCCCGCCUCCCAGGCACGGGCUGGGGUCUGAAGGAGCGCGGCUCCCGGGCAGCAGGCAGUGGAAUUCCUGGGUCCGCUCCGGCCCGCGUUUACCUACCCUAUUCUGGGAUUUGGCCUUGCCCCUGAGUCGGCGGCAGAGGUCCCGGCGACCGGCCCCAUGGCGCACAGUGGGUUGUCAGUGAAAGUCUGAGCGGACCGGCCGCGCCUCCGAGCCCGGGGUCUUUGAGCGCGGACCCCGACGCGGUCUUCGCCCUGCGUGGAGGCAGGCGAGUGGGCGCCCGCGGGAGGCACCUCACCGAGGCUGCCCCCUGACCUUAGUGGCCCGCACCCUGAGGCCGCAGGCCCUGCUUCCCGUCCUUGCUUCAGGCGAGGAGACCCUUGGUUCUGUGCCGCGUCGCUGUUGGCAUAGAUCGCAGGGCAGAAACACACCUGGGUGACUAACUCAUCCAGCAUGUCUGACUCCUUCCCUUGAAACGUGGCUCACCCUGGACCCCUCCUCCAUCCCUCCCAGGGCAAGCCCUCAGCGUGUCACCCGGACCUUGUCAGUCCUCAGUAUCUCCUCGCGGUCAAUUGGGAGCCCACUAAAACAGAAGAGCACGCCUGCUUGCUUCAGUGGCUUCAACAUUCUGUUCACCCAGGGUACUGGUUCUGUGCUCAGCAGCUGAACACACACAGGAGCCAAGAUGCCAAGACUCCAAGCCAGUCUGGAGUAGGAGACAAGUGAACAGAUGAUCACAGCGCGGCUAUGAGGCCCUGGAAGCGGGGCGAUGCUGGGGUGGAGCGCAAGAACCCACAUUUCUAACAAGUUUCUGAAGAGGUGGAUGCUUCCAGCCAGGAACCCCACUUGAGAAC
This is a long non-coding RNA of Bos taurus (domestic cattle), 871 nucleotides long. The record is from Ensembl. Lineage: Eukaryota; Metazoa; Chordata; Mammalia; Artiodactyla; Bovidae.